AAAAAUACCUUUAAGAUAUAAUAUUUGAAAUGUUACAUUACCAAAAUGAAAAUUUAAGUGCACAUCGCUUAACAAGUUAUGUCAAAUUAGGUAGCAGGAAAAAAUUGUAAUGCAGUUAUAUAGGAACAUCUGAACAAAAUGAAAAUGGAAAUUGUAAUGAUCACGAUAUCUGUGGAGUAUUAACAAGUGUUCUACCAAUUAUAUGGGUCAGUAUCUAAAAAAAAUUGAACCAUUCCAAGUUUUCCAGUUCACCCAAAAACACUCAUUGAGG
Molecule: unclassified non-coding RNA, 271 nt
Filed under: Hevea brasiliensis (rubber tree)
Lineage: Eukaryota; Viridiplantae; Streptophyta; Magnoliopsida; Malpighiales; Euphorbiaceae
Source: RNAcentral